RNAcentral lists this ribosomal RNA (253 nucleotides) under uncultured bacterium. RNAcentral describes it as "partial 16S ribosomal RNA". It matches the Rfam family "Bacterial small subunit ribosomal RNA", at positions 524 to 776 of the family's 1533-position model. The record is from RNAcentral.
UACGUAGGUGGCGAGCGUUAUCCGGAAUUAUUGGGCGUAAAGCGCGCGCAGGCGGUUUCUUAAGUUGGGUGUGAAAGCCCUCGGCUCAACCGAGGAGGGUCAUCCAAAACUGGGGAACUUGAGUGCAGAAGAGGAGAGUGGAAUUCCAUGUGUAGCGGUGAAAUGCGUAGAGAUAUGGAGGAACACCAGUGGCGAAGGCGACUCUCUGGUCUGUAACUGACGCUGAGGCGCGAAAGCGUGGGGAGCAAACAGG